Molecule: ribosomal RNA, 468 nt
Filed under: uncultured bacterium
Lineage: Bacteria
Description: partial 16S ribosomal RNA
Rfam family: Bacterial small subunit ribosomal RNA
Source: RNAcentral
GACGAACGCUGGCGGCGUGCUUAACACAUGCAAGUCUAACGGAAAGUCCCUGCUUUUGUGGGGUGCUCGAGUGGCGAACGGGUGAGUAACACGUGAGUAACCUGCCCUUGACUUUGUGAUACCUUCAGGAAACUGGGGCGAAUACCGGAUAGGAGCUCCUGAUGCGUUGUGGGGGGUGGAAAUUUUCGGCGGUUGGGGAUGGACUCGCGGCUUAUCAGCUUGUUGGUGGGGUAGUGGCUUACCAAGGCUUUGACGGGUAGCCGGCCUGAGAGGGUGACCGGCCACAUUGGGACUGAGAUACGGCACAGACUCCUACGGGAGGCAGCAGUGGGGAAUAUUGCACAAUGGGCGGAAGCCUGAUGCAGCAACGCCGCGUGCGGGAUGACGGCCUUCGGGUUGUAAACCGCUUUCGCCUGUGACGAAGCGUGAGUGACGGUAAUGGGUAAAGAAGCACCGGCUAACUACGUG